This is a non-coding RNA of Odocoileus virginianus texanus, 1317 nucleotides long. The record is from RefSeq and is a predicted model, not a curated record. Lineage: Eukaryota; Metazoa; Chordata; Mammalia; Artiodactyla; Cervidae.
CAAACUUGUGUCCUUCGAGUCCAUGAUGGCAUCCAGCCAUCUGGUCCUGUUACCCCUUUCUCCUCCUGCCUUUGUUAAGUAAGAGGCAAAUGCUAAAACCAUAGUAUAACUGCACGUUACUUGUGUUUUCUUACCCAUUUAGAAUAGGUCAGACAUACCCCGAAAUGAAUCGAAAUGUUGCCAGCUGCGAGCUGGACAAGGCUUUAUAUCUCUUGGUCCAUUAAUGGCCAGAAAGGGGUGCAUGCACCUCCAGGGGCACACGAGGUAGCCUGCGGUGAAGGAACAAGAGAAAUUUAGAACCUUGGUUCAUAGAUUCUAAUCUAAGAAAGGAUUAAGUCAUAUCAAUAUUUGAUAUUCAGAUUGACCCUGUCACUCGUUCAACCUGUAUAUCAGGUUGUCUUGUGCCACUUCAAUUUUUGAGGUAUCCUGUAGGAAAAGUGGGAAGAACAAUGGACAUGGGUGUUCUCAAGGGUGUGUUCAUUUAAAUGUAACCUGCUUAGUUAAAAUUAACUGUUCACUUAUCUAAUAAAGCUGCUUUGUAAGGGCUUAAAAGAUCAUUUUCAUAAUGCAGGCAUGGCAGAUGUAGCAUAAGUUGUCUGUACCUGCAGCUCCAGCUUUGAGGAACCUGCAGUUCCCCAAACCCAGUGACUUCUGCAGCUGUCUUCUGGACACAGAGCCUGCUGGGCAGCAUGUGGGCCAGGUGGGGCAGUCCUUACCCAGUGACGAUCAGCGUUUGGUAGCUUUCAGCUCUCAAAUGCUGGAUCAUUAAUGUCAUUCCAGAAAACUUUGAUGCAGACUACUCUUCUAUAUGAAUUAUCUAAGAAUGAGGAUGAAACAGACAUUUUCAGAUGAACAGAAACUAAGAAUUUACCAUAAAAAUUGCCUCAGUAAAUGAACUUCUAAAAGAUGGACUUCAUGGAGGAAGAAUGUUAUCCCAAAGUCUGAAAUUUUCCUGCAUGACUUUGUCCGGAUUCAACAACACAAAUUAAUGACUUUUGCAUUCAGUGCAAGAAGAUCAAGAAUUUGCCUCUGCACCAAGUUGCAAAAUAACAGUGUAGUUAUUAUUCUCUUGUCUGAUUUUCAUAAGCUUUUUAAAGGAGGCAUUUUAUUUCUGGAGAAACAGUCACAGCUUGAUUUAGUCUUCGUGUCCAAUACAUGGAGGAACUUUUAGUUCCUGAAUACCAGAUAAGCAAGGACUUUUUGUCCUGCUUGUGAAACUUACCUAAAGUAAGCUCAGGAAUGUAUUUUCUCAGAUAAUACUAUCCAGACUUCAUUAUAAUAUCCUUGAAUUUGAAAAUAAGUAAAAACUCAAAACUC